Molecule: transfer RNA, 72 nt
Filed under: Ezakiella coagulans
Lineage: Bacteria; Bacillati; Bacillota; Tissierellia
Description: Bacteroides coagulans tRNA
Rfam family: tRNA
About the family: Transfer RNA (tRNA) molecules are approximately 80 nucleotides in length. Their secondary structure includes four short double-helical elements and three loops (D, anti-codon, and T loops). Further hydrogen bonds mediate the characteristic L-shaped molecular structure. tRNAs have two regions of fundamental functional importance: the anti-codon, which is responsible for specific mRNA codon recognition, and the 3' end, to which the tRNAs corresponding amino acid is attached (by aminoacyl-tRNA synthetases). tRNAs cope with the degeneracy of the genetic code in two manners: having more than one tRNA (with a specific anti-codon) for a particular amino acid; and 'wobble' base-pairing, i.e. permitting non-standard base-pairing at the 3rd anti-codon position.
Source: Rfam by way of RNAcentral
GCUUGUGUAGCUCAAUGGUAGAGCAAUCGGCUGUUAACCGAUAGGCUAUAGGUUCGAGCCCUAUCACAAGCG